Molecule: ribosomal RNA, 253 nt
Filed under: uncultured bacterium
Lineage: Bacteria
Description: partial 16S ribosomal RNA
Rfam family: Bacterial small subunit ribosomal RNA
Source: RNAcentral
UACGUAGGGCGCGAGCGUUGUUCGGAUUUAUUGGGCGUAAAGAGCUCGUAGGCGGCUUGUCGCGUCGGCUGUGAAAUCCCGUGGCUCAACUGCGGAUCUGCAGUCGAUACGGGCAGGCUAGAGUUCGGUAGGGGAGACUGGAAUUCCUGGUGUAGCGGUGAAAUGCGCAGAUAUCAGGAGGAACACCGGUGGCGAAGGCGGGUCUCUGGGCCGAUACUGACGCUGAGGAGCGAAAGCGUGGGGAGCGAACAGG